This 170-nucleotide small RNA is filed under the name pig gut metagenome. RNAcentral's name for it is "Bacteroidales-1 6S-Bacteroidales RNA suggested". It matches the Rfam family "Bacteroidales-1 6S-Bacteroidales RNA suggested", at positions 13 to 171 of the family's 179-position model. The record is from RNAcentral.
AGUAGAUUGGGAAACUCUUCAAAUCAUAUUGAAAUGCCGAGACAAGCUUAUCCUCCCAAUGGCGGGCCCCACAUCGCAAGAUGAGGCAUUUUUAUGACCCGGGGGAUUACAAAGGGUGGAGAGCACUCAAAUCCUGUCUAUUCGGAGUUUCAUCGCAUCCUUUGGUGUGG